CCAACGUUUACCCGAUUACUAUUCUCUCUCUCUCUCUCCCUCUCUCUCUCUCUUCCAAGUUCCACCUCUCUGAGUACACGCUGCGCAGACCAUGGCUAAACCUUUCCUCAUCCUUUCUCUCUCUCUCCUCUUCAUCUUCCCUCUCUCCUCUUCAAACCCUAACUCUAACUCUAACUCUAACUCAUCGUCAAAGUCGCCACCGCUAACCGCCCACGCGGAGCUCACCAACUACGGCUUCCCCGUCGGCCUCCUCCCCACCAACGUCGUCGGCUACACCAUCAACACCACCUCCGGCGACUUCGCCGUCCACCUCGGCGACAACUGCAAGAUCACCCUCCCUCCUGACAACUACCUCGCCACCUACUCCAAGCACAUCACCGGCAAGAUCGUCGCCGGCCGCAUGGCCGACAUAAACGGUAUUAGGGUUAGGGCUUUCUUCCAGUGGUGGUCCAUCACCGGAAUCAAAUCCAGCGGCGAUGAUUUGGUCUUCGAGGUCGGUAUGGUCUCCGCUAAGUACCCCUCCAACAACUUCGGCGAGAGUCCGGACUGCGAGGGCAAGCGUGCUUCUUCUUGACCUCUCCACAUGUUUUUCAGGUGUUGAUGAUAUACCUCCGCCAAGGCAAUAGCUUAGUAGGACUUGGAGCAAGGGCUUCGUUUUGUUUGAUUGUUGCAUAUGUUUUGUACAGGCCAAGGGCCUUUAGCUGUAUUGGAUAUAAAUCUACUUUUUUUGUAACCAAGAAUCGUCUUGAAAAGUUAUAAACCUUUAGGGUAUUUAUUAUUUGCUUGAUGUUCAUUUUAUUAUGUAACAUAUGCUAUAGAUUCAGGGAUAGGCUUGUGAAUGCAUAUGUGCAUAUGUUACUCUUUUGUAAACUUACUUGGAAAGUGAUGAAAGAUAAGUACUUUAUCA
Molecule: long non-coding RNA, 907 nt
Organism: Camellia sinensis
Lineage: Eukaryota; Viridiplantae; Streptophyta; Magnoliopsida; Ericales; Theaceae
Source: RefSeq, a predicted model, not a curated record